RNAcentral lists this long non-coding RNA (4252 nucleotides) under Equus caballus (horse). RNAcentral's name for it is "lncRNA (ENSECAG00000030748.2)". The record is from RNAcentral. Lineage: Eukaryota; Metazoa; Chordata; Mammalia; Perissodactyla; Equidae.
GAUGGUGGAAGGGGUGGGGUGAGGGGAUGGGGACAGAGACCUCCAAACAGAUGGGCUGCCCACGUGGAAGCUGGCUAGGGUCUCUUCAUUCUUGGAGUCAAACAAUCUCCAACCCACUCCGAAGCUGCCCCCAGGCCAGCGGCAUCUUUCUUGAGAGUCAUCUGCCAGAUUAACGAAAGGGGCCAGGCCUGGACCACAGAAGGCUGCAGAAUUAAGAUGACUUCCCCAGGGGCCCUGAAAUUCCUUCAAAGCUAAGCCUCUAGACAUCCCUUUGGCUCCUCUGUCUGAAGAUAGACACUUUAAAGGCCAAAGAGAGAAUUCCCAUGACACCACUUUCUCAACAUCCCAUCUCAACACCCUCCAGCCGCCUGUUGUUUUUGGCGUCUGCACUCGGUGGGCCACCCCCAGGAUGUUGCUCCGCUGAGAUGCGACGCAGACUUCACUGUUGACGUCAGCAUUUCACUGACUCAGAAUAAGCUGGAACCUUGAUGCUUCAACCAUGUGUCUAGACCCAUGGCAGCGGCUCUGAGGAGGGAGCUGCUAACGCCAGUAAAGUUUGAAAAGAAGAAAAGAGAGAAGUAGACAUCGACAAUUCAUGGUGAAGACCAGUACAUAAAUGAGAGGUCUCUGCGGUGGUUACCCAGAGGUACUGUGGAUCCUGGAGAAGAGUAACAAGUGCCCAAGCCACUUGAUCGAAGAUCAAAAGUUCACGGACGGCCACGGUCACUGCAAAACUUCACAGAUGGGCGACCAUUGAGAAUGUUUGCUAACACGUGAGUCUCAGUUUAUUAAGCCCUAUGCUGAGGCAUUCUCUGUGGAGGGAAAAACCCAUUAAAAAGUUUAUGCACCUAAAAAAAAAAUAUGCGUCAACGAAAGCUGAAUUAUGGCUGCUGGAUGAAUCUCCCACAUAAGGAACGCUUGGAACAGAAUUACGGAUUAUAUCAUCUGUGAUUUGUCUGGGCCCAAAUAGGCUGAAACACACAAUAAUCUUGAGCUGGAACAACCUCUGUAUCCUCCAGGCUCUCUCCCGCCUCCAAGACAGGGACUUCGGACAGGGUGCCCUCAACACUUACGAAGGACAACAGAAGCAGACAGCUGGUUGAUUCUGUGAUGCUGGAAGUACGAGAGCUGUCCCCAGACAGCGGGCUCCUUGUUUUAAACUCAAUUCAGCCAACAUUUUGGAGCACUUUCUAUAUGCCCGACACUCUGUCCGGGGCAGUGGGGGAUUCAAACAUGAGCGGGACACAACACACACCGAGUCUUUAAGGCCCCUGGGAGAAGCCCAUCUGCUGUCAGAGCUCUGAAGAGAACGUCUUCCCUCUGGUGAAGGUGUGGGGAGCUCUUCACAGACAGGGGCGUGCAGGAUGCGGGUACUCUUCCCAUGCACGGCGAAAGCCUGAGGGCCAGUGUCCUUCCCGGGUCCUGGUGGAGAGACUCGCCUUGCCCCUCAUUUCUGGCCAGGAGCCCGCUUCCAAAGUAGGCAGCUGGCGUGUGCAGGCUCCUUCCCUACACUGGGAGAACACUUGGGGCACCCGCCACAGACUGGGCAUGUGUGGAGAGCGGGUGUUCUCCAGAGUGUAGGAGGGGGGUCCCGGUCCACCCAGCUUUGCAGCUGCCUCCCAGCUUCUGGCCGGAGCCCCUUGCCUCAGUCCUGGGUUCCUCUGGGGCUGGGAUGAAGAGAGAUGCAAGGGCAGCGGUGCUGUGGGUUCACCCCAGUUACCCAUCACUGGCCUUCUCUGGAGGAGUGCAUUUGUCCUUUGACAGAGCCCCCAACACAGACAUGGGGUCCCCAGCACAGCAGCAUUCCCCAGUGUGGGUGACGCCCCCUCUAGCCAGUCUCUCAUCUCCUCCCCUUACCUCUGCUCUGGCUGCACACCCCUGCACCCCGGAGCUGUCUCCCUUCUCACUGAGCAUUCACUCAGCUCAUGGGAAAAUCUCGUGCCACCCUCCCACACCAAGAGGCACAAGCACCGUUGGACCAUGCUGGCUGGUUCCCCUGGUCCUGCCAGGAGAACCUCUCAGGCAGGGGCUGCCUUCAAUCUUCUUCACGGGAGAACUCAGUCUUCCAGUCACAUGUCCCUCACGCUUUGCUGCAGCAGUGGCACCAGGAAGGUCUCUGGGGUGCCACCCCUUAGCCAGACAACUCAAUGAAGAGCUCUCUGCCACCCUUUACUGAGCUUGGGAUCAGAAUGUGGGGCUGGGGGAAGGAACCCCCCACACUCCCAAAGGGAAGGAGGAAAAAUGCUCUAUCUAGACUCUCUCCCAGGGGAAAAGAUGCCAGCAGAGGCAGUGAGUUAAGUGACUGAAGAUCUCAGGGGAGGAACGGUCAGCUGGGAUUUCCUUCUGGAAUGCUAGGUUGAAUUUGUUCUGGAACGGUAACAAGACAGUCUCUGCUUUCAAAAGAAGUAGCCUUUGAUGUAUUGUUUGGCGGCAGCUCCACAAGGCUAAGAUCAGAUGUACCCACAACUUCCCCUGGUCCACAAACAGGACACGAGGAGAUGAAACACUUGGCCGAGCUGAGCUCAGGGCAAGGUCUGGUUAUUAGGCGAGAAAACGUCUGGCCUCAAAGACGCCGAGUUCCUCAUAACGCUGCAAGGUUUCUUUGAUGUGAGACGGGAACUUUUUAUUUGGUGGAGCGUCAGGGUACAGUGCCGGGAGCAGGGGGACCCUGGGUUUCCACUGGAUGCUGCCAUACGUGGGGAGGCCAGCAGAAGCCCCGAGGGGUGUGUGUAGCAGGGGAGGAGGCUCCGGGCUCCGUGUGAGGGAGAACUUCCUAAUUACCAGCAUCUUCUCCCAGCACAAAGUGGAGAGCUCCCCAUCACCAGAAGUGUUCAAGCAGAGUCUACACAACUGCAUGGCACUGGACUCGAUGCUUCUUGCCCGCCCUACUAGAUUGGAAGCUCCUUGAAGCACAGGUCUUUAGACCUCAGGCCUGCUGGUGGUUUGGAAGCUGAUUGUUAUCCAGCCUGAUCAUCUGGGCCUAAUGAGCUGGAUCAUCAUUUCUUCAUCAGGGAAGUCUGAUUCUCCUGUGGUUUUGUUCCCACCCCUGUGAGGUCAGCAGGGAGCUAACCCUUUAUCUCAGGAAGGCAACAGGAGCCGGAGAGGAGCCGGGUGACAGGCUCAGAGUGGCGUUUAUUCAGGGAGCAAGGGUUUGAAUUCACACACACUGCUACGUUUCUUGAGCCCCUGGGAAAGGCUCUCCUGGCAGCACCUGCACAGCUGCACAGCCCGGCACCCUGGGGAGUGGAAGGUGCCCAGCGAUCCCCACGUGCAAUCAGUGGGCCCGCCAAGGCUGCCACAGCGCCUGUCACUCCAGUAUCGCAUAUCUCGAGGCCUUGGACUUGGGGGGGAGGGAGAGGGGCAAUUUUUCACUUCUUCUGCAAUGUAUUUCUACAGUAUAACAAUUGCUUAUAAAAACCACACAUUACUUUUGAAAUUUAAAAAAAGUAAAGAAUGUAUUAUUUUAACAUUUGUCACUUGGAAUCAAAUGAUCCCCAUGACAAUGCAGCUCCCUUAGUGGUGGGACUGGCUCAUUAAACCGAUAACUCCCUCAGAACCCUGAAGCACGUCAGAUUACCUAAAAUGGAAUGAUCUGCUCAGCCAAUGAGAAACACCACAGCUCAGCCAAUGAGAAAUGCUGCAGCUCAGCCAAUGAGAAAUGCUGCAGCUCAGCCAAUGAGAAACGCCACAGCUCAGCCAAUGAGAAACACCACAGCUCAGCCAAUGAGAAACACCACAGCUCAGCCAAUGAGAAACACGGCAGCUCAGCCAAUGAGAAACACUGCAGCUCAGCCAAUGAGAAACACCACAGCUCAGCCAAUGAGAAAUGCUGCAGCUCAGCCAAUGAGAAGCACCACAGCUCAGCCAAUGAGAAACGCCGCAGCUCAGCCAAUGAGAAACGCCACAGCUCAGCCAAUGAGAAAUGCUGCAGCUCAGCCAAUGAGAAGCUGUUGCCGUCCUGAACUGUUACUUUCCCCCAAUGGACUUGCUUUAGAACAGCCCUGCCAUACUCCCCUUUUUUUCUAUAAAAGCAGCUCCUCUUCUUUGUUUGCUGGAUUUGCCUAAUGUUCACCAUAGCAUGCACAUCCCAAAUUACGAUUCUUUUGGCAAUUCCUGAAUAAACUCAUUUUGAGAUAAAAUAAGAGACAAACUUGCUUUUUAAGUUGACAGGUUCUAGGGCCAUCUUGCUAGGUCCCCACAUUUCUCACCCUUGGCAGGGUCUGCCAGGCUGGUGGAGUUGCAGGAUGAAGCA